UUCGCCCUUAGAGUUUGAUCCUGGCUCAGGACGAACGCUGGCGGCGUGCCUAACACAUGCAAGUCGAACGAGUGAGAGAGAGCUUGCUUUCUCGAGCGAGUGGCGAACGGGUGAGUAACGCGUGAGGAACCUGCCUCAAAGAGGGGGACAACAGUUGGAAACGACUGCUAAUACCGCAUAAGCCCACAGGUCGGCAUCGACCAGUGGGAAAAGGAGCAAUCCGCUUUGAGAUGGCCUCGCGUCCGAUUAGCUAGUUGGUGAGGUAAUGGCCCACCAAGGCGACGAUCGGUAGCCGGACUGAGAGGUUGAACAGCCACAUUGGGACUGAGACACGGCCCAGACUCCUACGGGAGGCAGCAGUGGGGAAUAUUGCACAAUGGGGGAAACCCUGAUGCAGCGACGCCGCGUGGAGGAAGAAGGUCUUCGGAUUGUAAACUCCUGUUGUUGAGGAAGAUAAUGACGGUACUCAACAAGGAAGUGACGGCUAACUACGUGCCAGCAGCCGCGGUAAAACGUAGGUCACAAGCGUUGUCCGGAAUUACUGGGUGUAAAGGGAGCGCAGGCGGGAAGACAAGUUGGAAGUGAAAUCUAUGGGCUCAACCCAUAAACUGCUUUCAAAACUGUUUUUCUUGAGUAGUGCAGAGGUAGGCGGAAUUCCCGGUGUAGCGGUGGAAUGCGUAGAUAUCGGGAGGAACACCAGUGGCGAAGGCGGCCUACUGGGCACCAACUGACGCUGAGGCUCGAAAGUGUGGGUAGCAAACCAGGAUUAGAUACCCUGGUAGUCCACACCGUAAACGAUGAUUACUAGGUGUUAGAGGAUUGACCCCUUCAGUGCCGCAGUUAACACAAUAAGUAAUCCACGUGGGGGAGUACGACCGCAAGGUUGAAACUCAAAGGAAUUGACGGGGGCCCGCACAAGCAGUGGAGUAUGUGGUUUAAUUCGACGCAACGCGAAGAACCUUACCAAGUCUUGACAUCCUGCGACGAUGCUGGAAACAGUAUUUUCCUUCGGGACGCAGAGACAGGUGGUGCAUGGUUGUCGUCAGCUCGUGUCGUGAGAUGUUGGGUUAAGUCCCGCAACGAGCGCAACCCUUACUGUCAGUUACUACGCAAGAGGACUCUGGCAGGACUGCCGUUGACAAAACGGAGGAAGGUGGGGAUGACGUCAAAUCAUCAUGCCCUUUAUGACUUGGGCUACACACGUACUACAAUGGCGUUAAACAAAGAGAAGCAAGACCGCGAGGUGGAGCAAAACUCAGAAACAACGUCCCAGUUCGGACUGCAGGCUGCAACUCGCCUGCACGAAGUCGGAAUUGCUAGUAAUCGUGGAUCAGCAUGCCACGGUGAAUACGUUCCCGGGCCUUGCACUCACCGCCCGUCA
Molecule: ribosomal RNA, 1381 nt
Filed under: uncultured bacterium
Lineage: Bacteria
Description: 16S ribosomal RNA
Rfam family: Bacterial small subunit ribosomal RNA
Source: RNAcentral